GAUGAACGCUGACAGAAUGCUUAACACAUGCAAGUCUUUGGCGAAUCUGUGCUUGCACAGGCUAGCCAAGGCGGACGGGUGAGUAACGCGUAAAGAACUUGCCCUGCAGACAGGGAUAACAGACGGAAACGACUGAUAACACCUGAUACAGUUGCCGGCACGCAUGUGCCUGGCAAUGAAAAGAGAUGCUGCAGGAGAGCUUUGCGUCCUAUUAGCUUGUUGGUGAGGUGACGGCUCACCAAGGCGAUGAUAGGUAGCCGGCCUGAGAGGGUGAACGGCCACAAGGGGGCUGCGAUGCCGCCCUUCCUCCUACGGGAGGCAGCAGUGGGGAAUAUUGGACGAUGGGGGCAACCCUGAUCCAGCAAUUCUGUGUGCACGAAGAAGGUUUUCGGAUUGUAAAGUGCUUUCAGCAGGGAAGAAGAAAGUGGCGGUACCUGCAGAAGAAGCGACGGCUAAAUACGUG
This 463-nucleotide ribosomal RNA is filed under the name uncultured bacterium. Its description in RNAcentral is "partial 16S ribosomal RNA". It matches the Rfam family "Bacterial small subunit ribosomal RNA", at positions 28 to 507 of the family's 1533-position model. The record is from RNAcentral.